UGGAUCACCUCCUAACAGGGAGACAACAAAAUGUUAAAUAUUAAUUUUGUCACCUUAGGUCGAUCGGUAUCUCACAUUCUUAAUUUAUUAAGAAUUUUAUUUCCUAAGUUUUUUCUAGGUCACACCCAUUAUUUCCUGGGCCAUUAGCUCAGGUGGUUAGAGCGCACCCCUGAUAAGGGUGAGGUCCCUGGUUCAAGUCCAGGAUGGCCCAUAUCUCUAUGUUGGGGGUAUAGCUCAGUUGGUAGAGCGCCUGCUUUGCAAGCAGGAUGUCAGCGGUUCGAGUCCGCUUACCUCCACUGAUUACCACCUCUUCCAUAAUCUGUAGAAAGGAAUUAUUUUGAGUUGUGAUCAAAUUCUGAACGAAUCUAGCUUCCUAAUGUAACCAUUAAGAUGCUGGACUCAUUGAAUUAAUUUCAUUGUUUUCAGAGAACCUUGACAACUGCAUAGAUUAUUUUUUUAAAGACAAUAAGCAUCUUUAAUGAUGCAGAUUUAUUAUUUGUGCGAAUGCAUUAAUAACAAUUCUAUUAAGCUGAUGCUUCAAUUUUGAAGUUAUUGGUCAAGCUACAAAGGGCUCACGGAGGAUACCUAGGCACACAGAGGCGAUGAAGG
This 609-nucleotide transfer RNA is filed under the name uncultured Prochlorococcus sp. RNAcentral describes it as "partial contains 16S ribosomal RNA, 16S-23S ribosomal RNA intergenic spacer, and 23S ribosomal RNA". The stretch from base 224 to 296 matches the Rfam family "tRNA". The record is from RNAcentral. Lineage: Bacteria; Bacillati; Cyanobacteriota; Cyanophyceae; Synechococcales; Prochlorococcaceae.